CUACACGGGUAUCUAAUCCCGUUCGCUCCCCUGGCUUUCGCGCCUCAGCGUCAGUUUUCGUCCAGAAAGUCGCCUUCGCCACUGGUGUUCUUCCUAAUAUCUACGCAUUUCACCGCUACACUAGGAAUUCCACUUUCCUCUCCGAUACUCUAGAUUGGCAGUUUCCAUCCCAUCACGGGGUUAAGCCCCGAACUUUUAAGACAGACUGACCUAUCCGCCUGCGCGCGCUUUACGCCCAAUAAUUCCGGACAACGCUUGCCACCUACGUAUUACCGCGGCUGCUGGCAC
Molecule: ribosomal RNA, 288 nt
Filed under: uncultured Veillonella sp.
Lineage: Bacteria; Bacillati; Bacillota; Negativicutes; Veillonellales; Veillonellaceae
Description: partial 16S ribosomal RNA
Source: RNAcentral